UACGUAGGGCGCAAGCGUUAUCCGGAAUUAUUGGGCGUAAAGAGCUCGUAGGCGGUUUGCCGCGUCUGCCGUGAAAGUCCGGGGCUCAACUCCGGAUCUGCGGUGGGUACGGGCAGACUAGAGUGAUGUAGGGGAGACUGGAAUUCCUGGUGUAGCGGUGAAAUGCACAGAUAUCAGGAGGAACACCGAUGGCGAAGGCAGGUCUCUGGGCAUUAACUGACGCUGAGGAGCGAAAGCAUGGGGAGCGAACAGG
This 253-nucleotide ribosomal RNA is filed under the name uncultured bacterium. RNAcentral describes it as "partial 16S ribosomal RNA". It matches the Rfam family "Bacterial small subunit ribosomal RNA", at positions 524 to 776 of the family's 1533-position model. The record is from RNAcentral.